AUGGGGAUGACCUGGUUGAAUUGGAAAGCAAAGGAGGGCUCCGGUUUUUCCAGGUGUACAUACGCUACGACUUGCAUCACGGCUCUCAACUAUGCGCUAAGUUUUCUUCUGCCGAUGGAGGAUGCCCUCAUGAUGGUAGAGAAGAAGAUGGUGAUGAACCAGAGGAAUUCUCUUGCACUUGCAACCUUGACUACUUGCCUCCUUUGGUAUUGA
RNAcentral lists this ribosomal RNA (213 nucleotides) under Triticum aestivum (bread wheat). Its description in RNAcentral is "partial small subunit ribosomal RNA". Lineage: Eukaryota; Viridiplantae; Streptophyta; Magnoliopsida; Poales; Poaceae. The record is from RNAcentral.